RNAcentral lists this non-coding RNA (184 nucleotides) under Cyanobacteria bacterium CRU_2_1. Its description in RNAcentral is "6S RNA". It matches the Rfam family "6S / SsrS RNA". Rfam says of the family: E. coli 6S RNA was the first non coding RNA to be sequenced, but its function was unknown until recently. Lineage: Bacteria; Bacillati; Cyanobacteriota. RNAcentral also lists the same sequence under 1 other name. The record is from RNAcentral.
GUUCUACUGCGACGUUGGUGACUGCCAAUAAUGUUUUGUGAUCUAUGCUUUCUGAAUAUGGGAACCACAAUCGACCAGUGGCAGUAUACCGAGCUUGUACUCGGAAACUUUAAGCUGGCACAGCGGUACCCCCCUGGAUUCGUCCAGGUCAGAAACUGAGGCAAGACGGCGUUGCGGGGAACUC